UCGGGAAUUUUGGGCAAUGGGCGAAAGCCUGACCCAGCAACGCCGCGUGAAGGAUGAAGUAUUUCGGUAUGUAAACUUCGAAAGAAUAGGAAGAAUAAAUGACGGUACUAUUUAUAAGGUCCGGCUAACUACGUGCCAGCAGCCGCGGUAAUACGUAGGGACCAAGCGUUGUUCGGAUUCACUGGGCGUAAAGGGUGCGUAGGUGGUUGGGUAAGUCUGAUGUGAAAUCUCCGGGCCUAACCCGGAAACUGCAUCGGAUACUAUUCGACUGGAGGGUCGGAGGGGGGACUGGAAUACUUGGUGUAGCAGUGAAAUGCGUAGAUAUCAAGUGGAACACCAGUGGCGAAGGCGAGUCCCUGGACAACUCCUGACACUGAGGCACGAAAGCUAGGGGAGCAAACAGGAUUAGAUACCCCCGUAGUCCCUGAGCGGGCUGGCAAGGCGCAU
RNAcentral lists this ribosomal RNA (447 nucleotides) under uncultured bacterium. RNAcentral's name for it is "bacterial SSU rRNA". It matches the Rfam family "Bacterial small subunit ribosomal RNA", at positions 355 to 825 of the family's 1533-position model. The record is from RNAcentral.